This 449-nucleotide ribosomal RNA is filed under the name uncultured Leptolinea sp. RNAcentral's name for it is "bacterial SSU rRNA". It matches the Rfam family "Bacterial small subunit ribosomal RNA", at positions 917 to 1381 of the family's 1533-position model. Lineage: Bacteria; Bacillati; Chloroflexota; Anaerolineae; Anaerolineales; Anaerolineaceae. The record is from RNAcentral.
GACGGGCCCGCACAAGCAGCGGAGCGUGUGGUUUAAUCGAUGUUACACGAAGACUACAGGUUUGACAUGCAAGUGGUAGGAAGCCGAAAGGUGACCGACCCUUCGGGGAGCUUGCACAGGUGCUGCAUGGCUGUCGUCAGCUCGUGUCGUGAGAUGUUCGGUUAAGUCCGCUAACGAGCGCAACCCUCGCUGUGUGUUAUAUGUGUCACACGGGACUGCCGGUCUUAAGCCGGAGGAAGGUGGGGAUGAUGUCAAGUCAGCAUGGCCUUUAUAUCCUGGGCUACACACACGCUACAAUGGCCAACACAAUAGGUUGCUAAGCCGCGAGGUGGCGCCAAUCCAUAAAGUUGGUCUCAGUUCAGAUUGUAGGCUGCAACCCGCCUGCAUGAAGAUGGAGUUGCUAGUAACCGCAGGUCAGCUAUACUGCGGUGAGUACGUUCCCGGGGCUU